GCUCUUGCAUCGAUGAAGAACGUAGCGAAAUGCGAUACUUGGUGUGAAUUGCAGAAUCCCGUGAACCAUCGAGUCUUUGAACGCAAGUUGCGCCCGAAGCCAUUAGGCCGAGGGCACGCCUGCCUGGGUGUUGCACAUCGUUGCCCCGUGCCUUGGCCACGU
RNAcentral lists this ribosomal RNA (162 nucleotides) under Lupinus angustifolius (narrow-leaved blue lupine). Its description in RNAcentral is "5.8S ribosomal RNA". The stretch from base 1 to 133 matches the Rfam family "5.8S ribosomal RNA", at positions 24 to 154 of the family's 154-position model. Rfam says of the family: 5.8S ribosomal RNA (5.8S rRNA) is a component of the large subunit of the eukaryotic ribosome. It is transcribed by RNA polymerase I as part of the 45S precursor that also contains 18S and 28S rRNA. Functionally, it is thought that 5.8S rRNA may be involved in ribosome translocation. The record is from RNAcentral. Lineage: Eukaryota; Viridiplantae; Streptophyta; Magnoliopsida; Fabales; Fabaceae.